GGCCGGUUAGCUCAGCUGGUUAGAGCGUCGCACCAGGGGCGUGGGUUCAAUCCCCGUAAUGGCCA
Non-coding RNA from Danio rerio (zebrafish), 65 nucleotides. The record is from Rfam. Lineage: Eukaryota; Metazoa; Chordata; Actinopteri; Cypriniformes; Danionidae.